UAAAGGGUGCGUAGGCGGCCUGUUAAGUCAGGGGUGAAAGACGGUAGCUCAACUAUCGCAGUGCCCUUGAUACUGAUGGGCUUGAAUUGACUAGAGGUAGGCGGAAUGUGACAAGUAGCGGUGAAAUGCAUAGAUAUGUCACAGAACACCGAUUGCGAAGGCAGCUUACUAUGGUCUUAUUGACGCUGAGGCACGAAAGCGUGGGGAUCAAACAGGAUUAGAUCCCUAGU
Molecule: ribosomal RNA, 230 nt
Filed under: uncultured bacterium
Lineage: Bacteria
Description: partial 16S ribosomal RNA
Rfam family: Bacterial small subunit ribosomal RNA
Source: RNAcentral